Molecule: ribosomal RNA, 253 nt
Filed under: uncultured bacterium
Lineage: Bacteria
Description: partial 16S ribosomal RNA
Rfam family: Bacterial small subunit ribosomal RNA
Source: RNAcentral
UACAGAGGUCCCAAGCGUUGUUCGGAUUCAUUGGGCGUAAAGGGUGUGUAGGUGGCGCCGUAAGUCGGGUGUGAAAUCUCGGGGCUUAACUCCGAAACUGCAUUCGAUACUGCCGUGCUUGAGGACUGGAGAGGAGACUGGAAUUUACGGUGUAGCGGUGAAAUGCGUAGAUAUCGUAAGGAAGACCAGUGGCGAAGGCGGGUCUCUGGACAGUUCCUGACGCUGAGGCACGAAGGUCAGGGGAGCAAACGGG